This is a long non-coding RNA of Gasterosteus aculeatus aculeatus (three-spined stickleback), 2372 nucleotides long. Lineage: Eukaryota; Metazoa; Chordata; Actinopteri; Perciformes; Gasterosteidae. The record is from Ensembl.
CCCCCCCCCCCCCCUCCUCAAAUUCCCCAUCUUUUUUUGCUACUUUCCUCUCUCUCGCUCUCCAAAUCGCUCUCCCUCUUGUAUUCACAGAGUCAUUGACAAGACAUUCAAAGCUUUUUCAAAUUGGCCAGCCUCAUUGUGGCUGUUCUAAAGUGGAGGGGGGGCUCGGCUGGAGCGAGCGGGAGUGUAAAGAGGAGUGGGCCUAAAUAUACUCCGGUCUGAACGUAGUUAGAUCAUGUUCUUUUCAUGGUCCGAUUAGAAUCAAAUCGAUCCCCCCCCCCCCUGACACUCAGAGGUCUGAAGAGGAGCAGCCGGACAAAGAUUCCUCGGUGGAGACGGAUGAAUGAACCCAACCUGCUGAAUGCUAAACACAACCUUUAAGUGAGAGAUGGAGACAGAUAUGGUUCCUCAUCUAUGGAUCAUGAACCAGGCUGAGGACCCGUCAGAAGGUACUGCUGGUUCCUCAUCUAUGGAUCAUGAACCAGGCUGAGGACCCGUCAGAAGGUACUGCUGGUUCCUCAUCUAUGGAUCAUGAACCAGGCUGAGGACCCGUCAGAAGGUACUGCUGGUUCCUCAUCGAUGGAUCAUGAACCAGCCUGAGGACCCGUCAGAAGGUACUGCUGGUUCCUCAUCUAUGGAUCAGAAACCAGCCUGAGGACCCGUCAGAAGGUACUGCUGGUUCCUCAUCUAUGGAUCAUGAACCAGCCUGAGGACGCGUCAGAAGGUACUGCUGGUUCCUCAUCUAUGGAUCAGAAACCAGCCUGAGGACCUGUCAGAAGGUACUGCUGGUUCCUCAUCGAAUGGAUCAUGAACCAGCCUGAGGACCCGUCAGAAGGUACUGCUGGUUCCUCAUCAAUGGAUCAUGAACCAGCCUGAGGACCCGUCAGAAGGUACUGCUGGUUCCUCAUCUAUGGAUCAGAAACCAGCCUGAGGACCCGUCAGAAGGUACUGCUGGUUCCUCAUCAAUGGAUCAUGAACCAGCCUGAGGACCCGUCAGAAGGUACUGCUGGUUCCUCAUCAAUGGAUCAUGAACCAGCCUGAGGACCCGUCAGAAGGUACUGCUGGUUCCUCAUCAAUGGAUCAUGAACCAGCCUGAGGACCCGUCAGAAGGUACUGCUGGUUCCUCAUCUAUGGGUCAUGAACCAGCCUGAGGACCUGUGACGAUGGGGAGGAGUUCACAAACAACUGCUUUAUAGUUUUAAACGUUUUAAGUAUUUCUUGAUACAGAAGUGUUGAUCUCUAUCUUUGUCUGAUAAGUUUAAUAUUUGAUAAGUUUAAGCUGAACAAACUCCUUUGACCUCGUUGGUUUCAUCCGUGUGCAAAAAGUGCUCACUGUUAACAAAGUGGAAACCAGAGAAGCAGCUUUCAUGUUUGUGUUAUAAAGAAACCAAAACACUUAUUCCAGUUAUUGCAUAAUAGUCAAAGUAAAUCUCGAUUUACUGAAAAUACGUCAAAUGAAAAACGGUCCCCAAAGCUGUUGAAGUUCGACGUUAAAGCUCACCGGCGCUUUGAAACCCUCCAAUCAAGCUGCAGAUCUUCAGCAGCUUAUUUCACAUUCUUAAACGUGAAAAGAAACGUUAAAUCCCAAUUCAAUUAUACUUAAUUAUAAAAACCAAAUAGUUUGUUUCUCCAGCUCUGCUUCAUUCAUCACGUGGCUAAACGGUUUACAAACUAAUCCAAAAAUUACCCAAUAUGAUCAAGAAUUUGGGAUAAAUGUGUCAAUGAAAGGACACAAUACAUUUUCCCCUGAAGGCACGGAGACUGUGUGGUUUGAAUAUUCUACUCAGACAGUAAUAAACUCAUUUUAACCACCUUAAGGCUACUUAGCUACAGCAGCGGGAUGGGAUUAUAUGAAUAAAAUCUCUCCUCCACUUCUGGUCGUUUAAACUUUUAGGCCUUUCGUGUGAUUAAUUAUCUUGUUAAUAUAUUUGAUCCCACAGCUGUUUCAUUUCUGCUUUCCCACCAAAAUAUGUAAUAAGAAAAAACAUCAGGGCCUUUUCAUACUCGACUACCAGAAUAAUGAUCUCUGGUGUUGACCUGUCAAUCACCGUGUAGCCCCGCCCUAAAGCGUCCGCUGCUUUAUGGUCUGUUUGACUCUAAAUGGACCAUCAGUCACUAAAUGAACAUCAUGUUGUGUUGAAGAAGACGUGAAACUAGAGACUGAGACCAUAAACUCAUGUUUACAAUGUUUACUGAGGGAAUAAAUCAAGAGAGAAGUAGAGUCAUUUCCUCAUAGACGUCUAUGGGAGCAGAGGAGUCGCCCCCUGCUGGUCACUACAGAGAAGUAGAGUCAUUUCCUCAUAGACGUCUAUGGGAGCAGAGGAGUCGCCCCCUGCUGGUCACUACAGAGAAGUAGAGUCAUUUCCUCAUAG